CGAGGCGAUCAGAGCUAGGGAGGGAGCGAGCGCUAGAACGAAAAAACCAUGAGAAAAAAACCUACGAAAAAAAGCCUACAAAAAAAUCGACGACUAGCGAGCGAGGGGUUCAGAGUGCCCUCGAUCCCCAUCCAGAUCCCUUCGCCGCCGCCCUCGCUCGCACAUCAAGCGCCCUCGAUCCUGCGCCGCCGAACCUUCGCCGUCAGCGAUCCCUUCGGACUCCUCCGCCAGCCAUGCUUUACCCUCCUCUGUGUGCUGGUGGUGGUGAUGCAGCGCGUCAUCGAUCGCGAGAUCUGCAAGCCCAAGUACCGCUGCGCUUGGGCCUGUGUCGACACGGCCGCGGACGGCGGUUGCAGGACGACCGAAUGCGGCCUCCAGUACUCAACGCAAGAUCAGAUCGGCACCUGCCCGAUCCCCAUCCGAGUCCAGGGCAGGCCGUGCCGUCCGCGGUGACCGGCCAUGCUUCAGCCUUCGCCUGCUCCGGCCUGAGUCUAGGGCCGUCAGGACCACCUCCCAGCCGUUCGACGGUUUGCCUGACUCGCUUCCAGCAUGUAUGUAUGAUCGGUCAUACCCCGCUGCCUUCCUCUUCACCGGAGCCAAGUAUGUAUGAUCUAUCAUUGUACAUUAGCUAGCUAGGAGAUGUCAUGUUCGUGCUUUUUGUCAUCUUCCUGAACACGCAUCUGAAUGUUUGUGCAUUGGAAUUGCGGGUCUUUCGGAUUAACUGUUCCAUGCUACGGCCUUAGUUUUUAAUUUGACUGACUAUCUACAAUUCUACACAUGCUCUCCAAGAUUGUUCCUGUGAGUUUCUUUAAAACCUAUUUGCACACCUAGCUAGAUCAUACAGCUGAUAACGUAUGGAGUUUUUUUUUUGAGAUCUGUUUAUCUCAGGGCUCUGACACGCUGGUUCCAUUUAAACAGUUUUUAGAGCUAGCAUUUUUCUGUUUUUUAUAUGGAUGAUAUGCAAAAGUAUUUAACACUGCAUUUUUUUAACCCAUAACUUGGUUGUGUUAAUUAAUAGUACAAACUACAUUGGACUUGUAUGUGGAUUUGAUUUGGACUUUCUGUACAUAGUCGGCUAAACGGUAUUACUUCUAAUCAUCAGUAACUUGUAUGUGGAUUUGAUUUGGACUUUCUGUACAUAAUUUUUUAAUAAAAAACACAUAUUAACUUAGUUAUCUAAAGUAAUUCCUUUUCAUUUAUAUAACCUUAUGACUUAGAUACACAGUUCUUGUGGCACCAGCGGCCAACUGGGAUAACAAACAAACCAGUGCAUGACAAUCUGAAGAGCCAGCAGGGGAAGUGAGUCACCUAUGAGAUAUGCACAACAGCACAACCCUCAGGCAGAAAACUAUCCCCCCAUUGGUGGUUAGCUGAUCUCAGUAUCUUAUGUACUGCAUGAAACUUAUAGGGAAGCUCAUGUGAAAUAUGACUUUAGACAGCCUGUGUACAUGGUCAGCAAGCCACCUACGGGAGCACUGUUUUCCUGUAGUAUAUUUUCUUUGUAUUAAUAUGAACUGCAGAUCUCUUUUUUUGUUGAUAUCUUCGCUGGCGUAAUGCAUCUGAUCGGUAAGCAUUAGGAUUCAUUCAUUGUCUUUCUUUUGCUGGUUUUAGCGAAGGUGUAUUCAUGUGAGCCGAUCGAAUUCCUUCCUUUUCUUGCCUUCAACUAUCUGAUGCAUGUUGCUUAUGGUUUUUUAGUCAUCAAUUUACCUUUCCGUGCAAAAACAUAUGUACCUUUGCCAUUUCUUUUGCAGAUACUGGUGAUGAGCUCAACAACAGCAUCAUUGUUGGUAAAUACCAUCAGCACUUACAGUCUACUCCACCUACAAAGAGCUAUGGCAAGGUGCACACUUUAGUGAUGAGCUGGGAAGAGAAUGAAGUUUCUUUUUUAUCUUGUCUGGUCGUAGAUCGAGUGACAUGAAGGAUGCUGGCUGUUGGUGCUCGUUCAACAGGAUCAUCUGAAUAAUGUUUUUCCAACACAUUCUGAUGUCUUCUCAAUUGUGCACCGGGCUCUUCUUUUAGCCAAGGACUUCUGAUAAAUAAUAAUCUAGGCAAUAGUUGAAUCCCAAGGACCCAUUGAAUUUAGAAAUGGACUCUUAUGAUGUCUGACCCCAGAAAUUCCAAUAAGCAGAGACGAUGUUUUAUUUUCUUUGUCGGUGACACAACCAAAGGGAACAUAUGAUAUUGUUACAUGCAAACUAAAAGAUAUAGCAGGAAAUGGCAAACCAGAAGGAUGAGUUAGCCGAAAAGUUUCUAGCUGAUUACCGAGGUACUACUCAACCAUAAAUCUGUAGGAAUUUCUGUUGUUUUGCGAGCAGAGAGUGGAUACUUAUAAGGAGGAAGUUGAAGGUAACUUUGAAAUAUAUAUCAACCAUUGCUCUAUUUUGUUUUUUCUGUGGUUAGGACCAUAUUUUGACCAUAAAAUCACACAAAAUGGUUUUGUUCCCUCCUUGCAUUUUCCUCUGUUUCCUUUUACUUCUGCCGCAAAACGAUUUCUACACAUAGCUAUGUGUGGAUGAAAUUUCCUAUGCCUUUUUAUUCUGUAUGAUGAGCUUCUCUCACCUUACCCACACUACUAAAUAUUUUGUUUUGCUAUAUCAUAUGAAUUGAGCAGGAAAUGCUUCCUUCACUUGCACCUUUUGUUUGAUGUUGGUUGUCUGUCAAUUUUUUUUGUACAUUACUAAGGAUACACUUCGACUUACCAUUAUUUUUUCUUUCCUCAUGUUAUUUUGAAGCGAUGCCAACGCUUGCAAAGGAAGUGACUUUAGCUGCAACUAGCAAGAUGUUGACUAAUUCACCUUCUGUCGCUGCUCCUGCCAAAGCUUGCUUCUCUUUUGGUAGCAAGAGAAGUCUCAAGGUCGAAUUUUGGGGCCGGGAAGCACUAGGUUCUCUGGUGGCCUACCACUAAGUAUCAAAGGCAUUUUCAUAUGGUUUUUUCCCGUCUGUAAGAUGGCAAUUCCAUUUACCAACCGUAAGGUAUGGUGCUUUCUUAAUUGAUGUAAAUGAAGGUAGCUCAAGAAUAUCUCAAUUCGCAUCAUGCAUUAGUACUCCAUAGUGUGUAUAUGUGUACUUGUAUUGAGAAUUUAGCUGGUACUCCCUCCCUCCGUCUUAUAUUGUGGGACGAAGUAGUAUUUAUUUAGAACAUGUUAUACAAAAAAGAGUGGCGUUAGAUGGUGUACUAUUUAUUUUGGUUGUCCCAAACAAACUCUGCGCUAUAUCAUUCUUUCUGCUACUCAGGGCCUCUUUGAUUCAAAGAAUUUUUCUACUACAAUUAGGACAACAUUGGUCUUCAUCUUGUUGGACACCCCCGUUUGGCGUCUGUUUGAUGUCCAUCCGGACAUACGAGCAAGAAAUGAGUUUCGACCUUAAAGAUGAUCUUAUUCAUUUGUUCGAUUCAUAUUUAUGUAUUAUAGCCCGUAGCAACGCACGGGCGUUCUACUAUAUGAGAUAGUGCAUCACUGAGCCAGGUACAUCUGCUUCAUUUUACAUGACUCGACUUACUUGCUUUACAAAAAUAUUGCAGCAGAAAUAUUUUCCUUUGACUAUGGCUUCAUAGAUCUCUCUGAAUCUUAGGUUUCAUGUUACUCACAACUGUUUUUAUCAAUGGUGUAACUUAGGUUUGAAGAUUAUUUCUCCAACGAUGUGGAGCCGCUGACGCUUACUCUCCCUGAAGACUCAGUGGCCAGCUCAGGCAUUUGUCCCAGCUAUGCUGCUUCCCAUCAAACUCGAGCUCAGCGCUCCGUCUGCACUCGAGCACAGCUGUCGGCCAUCAGCUCGCUCGAGCAAACACCCUGGCCGUCCGCACACGAUCUCCUCCCAGCCUUCUGACGUGUUAUUUUUGCAUGGAAGGCUAAGCUAUCUCCACCGGCUCCUUUUUCUGUUCGAGCUCCUCCCUACCCUGGCAAAACCAAAUGCUACCAUCUCCUUUCCUUGGCAUGCUAAAACUUAUGUCAGUUCAUUGUCAUGGAUAGAUUAGUGAGAAUGAGAUUGGGAUCUUUACACUACAGAGGACGAGGAGCUAUAUGGGCUACGACAUGUUGCUUGAGGUGUGGUUCUGGGACCUGCUGUUGUUCAAAUUAUAGUUCCCUUAUUUAGAACUAGGCAUUCCCACUGAUACUGACCAUACUUGGAGCAUUUCCAGCAGUGGCAGUAGACACAUGUGGCACCACUUCUUGGUAGAUUUUGUCCAUUUACUUUUUGUAUCCUUUGAAUUAGAAUAUUCUCUGCAAGAUUUGAGUUUGAAUCUGGUCAAAUUAUUCUUGUACUCUUUGAAUUUAAAUAAUGUCUCGUAUCUUACUAAA
Molecule: RNA transcript, 4298 nt
Organism: Triticum aestivum (bread wheat)
Lineage: Eukaryota; Viridiplantae; Streptophyta; Magnoliopsida; Poales; Poaceae
Exons: 4
Source: RefSeq, a predicted model, not a curated record